RNAcentral lists this transfer RNA (71 nucleotides) under Methanomicrobiales archaeon. RNAcentral describes it as "tRNA-Gly". It matches the Rfam family "tRNA". Rfam says of the family: Transfer RNA (tRNA) molecules are approximately 80 nucleotides in length. Their secondary structure includes four short double-helical elements and three loops (D, anti-codon, and T loops). The record is from RNAcentral. Lineage: Archaea; Methanobacteriati; Methanobacteriota; Methanomicrobia; Methanomicrobiales.
GCGAUUGUAGUCUAGUGGUAUGACAGUGGCUUCCCAAGCCACUAUCUCGGGUUCGAAUCCCGGCAGUCGCA